GACGAACGCUGGCGGCGUGCUUAACACAUGCAAGUCGAACGGUGAAGGCGGAGCUUGCUCUGCCGGAUCAGAGGCGAACGGGUGAGUAACACGUGGGCAACCUGCCCCUCACUUCGGGAUAACUCCGGGAAACCGGGGCUAAUACCGGAUACGACCUCCUUGGGCAUCUUUGGAGGUGGAAAGUUUUUCGGUGAGGGAUGGGCCCGCGGCCUAUCAGCUUGUUGGGGAGGUAGUGGCUCACCAAGGCGACGACGGGUAGCCGGCCUGAGAGGGCGACCGGCCACACUGGGACUGAGACACGGCCCAGACUCCUACGGGAGGCAGCAGUGGGGAAUAUUGCGCAAUGGGCGAAAGCCUGACGCAGCAACGCCGCGUGCGGGAUGAAGGCCUUCGGGUUGUAAACCGCUUUCAGCAGGGAAGAAGCCGCAAGGUGACGGUACCUGCAGAAGAAGCACCGGCUAACUACGUGCCAGCCGCCGCCGUAA
Molecule: ribosomal RNA, 485 nt
Filed under: uncultured bacterium
Lineage: Bacteria
Description: partial 16S ribosomal RNA
Rfam family: Bacterial small subunit ribosomal RNA
Source: RNAcentral